AGCGAUUCUCCUGCCUCAGUCUCCCGAGUAGCUGGGCCUACAGGCGCCCACCACCAUGCCCAGCUAAUUUUUUUUUUUUGUAUUUUUAGUAGAGACGGAGUUUCACCAUGUUGGCCAGGAUGGUCUCCAUCUCUUGACCUCGUGAUUCACCCACCUUGGCCUCCCGAAGUGCUGGGAUUACAGGCGUGAGCCACCACGCCCAGCCCCACAAAUAUUCUUAAAAGCAGAUAUCUGUGCCUUCUUAUUGGAGAUGGAAGACAUUUUACCUCCUCUCUCCUUUCCUAAACCCAUUGAAAUGACAUUAAAUACAAAUAAAAGAGGGGAGGAUUACCAUGGCAGAUGGGAGGCAGGACUAGACUGCAGCUCUGGACAGAGCAGCGUGUGGAGGCUCACAUCGUGAAUUUUAGCUCCAGAUUGACUGCAAGAAAAAACCAACAGUCCUGAAAGGACCCAUAGACGCUUUGAAGGAAGCAGACAGCUCCUGCAGGACCUGGGAGACAUCUCAAAUACGAUUGUCUCAUCCUGGAUAAGAGAAAAUCCAUAAGAGUUGGCGUCUAUGGGCACCAGAAUCUCAACUGUAAUAAUAAGUGACAAUGAUUAUCAUCUGAAAAAAGUGUCAAAACAUCAUACUGAACCCCCAGAAUAUGUGCAAUUAAAUUCUUCGUCAAUUAAAAGAUUUUUUACUAAGUUAAAAAGCAAUAUCUCUAAAGAAUUAUCA
RNAcentral lists this long non-coding RNA (718 nucleotides) under Homo sapiens (human). RNAcentral's name for it is "HSALNT0286990". The record is from RNAcentral. Lineage: Eukaryota; Metazoa; Chordata; Mammalia; Primates; Hominidae.